RNAcentral lists this ribosomal RNA (253 nucleotides) under uncultured bacterium. RNAcentral describes it as "partial 16S ribosomal RNA". It matches the Rfam family "Bacterial small subunit ribosomal RNA", at positions 524 to 776 of the family's 1533-position model. The record is from RNAcentral.
UACGAAGGGGGCUAGCGUUGUUCGGAAUUACUGGGCGUAAAGCGCGCGCAGGCGGUUCUCCAAGUCAGUGGUGAAAGCCCGGAGCUCAACUCCGGAACUGCCAUUGAAACUGUUGAACUUGAGGACGAGAGAGGUGAGUGGAAUUCCCAGUGUAGAGGUGAAAUUCGUAGAUAUUAGGAAGAACACCAGUGGCGAAGGCGGCUCACUGGCCCGGUACUGACGCUGAGGCGCGAAAGCGUGGGGAGCAAACAGG